CGAGGAGGUAGGGCUUACGCUCGCGUUUGUCUGUUAUAUCUUGGUGGACGAGUUGUCGCGGUUGGGACUGAGGUGCCUACAACGUGCUUUUGAGUGAGUUUGUGUCUCCGUGUGCGCCGUGUGUGGAUAGCUUGCUAUGUAUGUGCGGUUGUGUGUGGAUUGAUGCGGGCUUUAACUUGUUGCCGUUCGGGACGUUGGCGAAAUGGAGCGAUCCGACCCGUCUUGAAACACGGACCAAGGAGUCUAACAUGUGUGCAAGUGUUAGGGUGUGGAAACCCCAGCGCGAAAUGAAAGUGAAGGGCAGCGCAAGUUGUCUGAGGUAGGAAACGUUGCGGACUUCGGUCUGCGGCGUGGCACUAUCGACCGAUCAUGAACCUUCGUGGUGAAAGAUUUGAGUUUGAGCACAUAUGUUGGUACCCGAAAGAUGGUGAACUAUGCCUGAGUAGGGUGAAGCCAGGGGAAACUCUGGUGGAAGCUCGUAGCGAUUCUGACGUGCAAAUCGAUCGUCAAACUUGGGUAUAGGGGCGAAAGACUAAUCGAACCAUCUAGUAGCUGGUUCCCUCCGAAAUUUCCCUCAGGAUAGCAGCAACUUAUUUACGAUAGUUUUAUGAGGUAAAGCGAAUGAUUAGAGGAUUCGGGGAAGAAACUUCCUCGACCUAUUCUCAAACUUUAAAUCUGUAAGACCUGCAGGUUUCUUAAU
This 700-nucleotide ribosomal RNA is filed under the name Pseudoperonospora cubensis. RNAcentral describes it as "LSU rRNA". It matches the Rfam family "Eukaryotic large subunit ribosomal RNA", at positions 442 to 1095 of the family's 3401-position model. Lineage: Eukaryota; Oomycota; Peronosporomycetes; Peronosporales; Peronosporaceae. The record is from RNAcentral.